Molecule: small nuclear RNA, 100 nt
Filed under: Paramormyrops kingsleyae
Lineage: Eukaryota; Metazoa; Chordata; Actinopteri; Osteoglossiformes; Mormyridae
Source: RNAcentral
UUCCUAUGGCAGCACAUAUUCUAAGGCUGGAAUGAUACAAAGAUUAUCAUGGCCCCUGUGCAGGGAUGACGUGCACAUUUGUGAAGUGUUCCGGGAAUUU